UCGGGUGGCUAGUGGCGAACGGGUUAGUAACACGUGGGUAACGAACUCUAGAGAUGGGCAUAAUCCGUCGAAAGACGGACUAAUUCCCAAUAGUCCCCCCACCAUAAUUUGGUGAGGGGUAAAGGAGAAAUCCGCUCUGGAAUCGGCCCGCGGCCUAUCAGCUAGUUGGCAGGGUAAUGGCCUACCAAGGCGAUGACGGGUAGGGGAUGUGAGAGCAUGUUCCCCAACACUAGCACUGCGACACGGGCUAGACUCCUACGGGAGGCAGCAGUCGAGAAUAUUGGACAAUGGGGGAAACCCUGAUCCAGCGACGCCGCGUGCUCGAAGAAGCCCUUCGGGGUGUAAAGAGCUUUUCUGGGGGAAGAAGUUUCGACUGACAGUACUCCAGGAAUAAGGGGGGGCUAAUCACGUGCCAGCAGCUGCGGUAAUACGUGACCCCCAAGCGUUAUCCGGAUUUAUUGGGCGUAAAGCGUCUGUAGGCGAUCUGGAAAGUCUUUGGUUAAAUACCAAGAGCUUAACUUUUGGGCUGCUAGAGAUACUUCCAGAAUAGAGGGCGUUAGAGGCUGAUGGAACGGUCGGUGUAGAGGUGAAAUUCGUUGAUAUCGACCGGAACACCGAAAGCGAAGGCAUUCAGCUGGGGCGACCCUGACGCUGAGAGACGAAAGCGUGGGGAGCAAAAAGGAUUAGAUACCCUUGUAGUCCACGCUGUAAACGAUGGACACUGGCUAUUUGAAGUGUCGACCCUUCAAGUGGCGAAGCUAACGCGUUAAGUGUCCCGCCUGGGAAGUACGGCGGCAACGCUAAAACUCAAAGGAAUAGACGGGGACUCACACAAGCGGUGGGACCAUGUGGCUUAAUUC
This 860-nucleotide ribosomal RNA is filed under the name uncultured bacterium. RNAcentral describes it as "bacterial SSU rRNA". It matches the Rfam family "Bacterial small subunit ribosomal RNA", at positions 84 to 952 of the family's 1533-position model. The record is from RNAcentral.